GGUCAAGAUAUGAGGGGCACACGGUGGAUGCCUUGGCACCUGAGCCGAUGAAGGACGUGGUUACCUGCGAAAAGCCUGGGGGAGCUGGUAGCGAGCGUUGAUCCCGGGAUAUCCGAAUGGGGGAACCUGGCCUGUGGGGACACGGGUCACCGCGGAAGCGGGGGGAACCCGGGGAACUGAAACAUCUUAGUACCCGGAGGAGGAGAAAGAGAUAUCGAUUCCCUGAGUAGCGGCGAGCGAAAGGGGAGGAGCCUAAACCCAGGUGCGUGCGCCUGGGGGUAGUGGGGCCUCUGUUGGUCUAGUUUCUGGUCUAGCCGAAGCUUGCUGGGAAGCGGCACCGGAGAAGGUGAAAGUCCUGUAGGCGAAAGGCUGGGGGCUGGAUGGGGGUACCCGAGUAGCCUGUGGUUCGUGGAGCCAUGGGUGAAUCUGCGCGGACCACCGCGUAAGGCUAAAUACUACAGGUGACCGAUAGUGGAUCAGUACCGUGAGGGAAAGGUGAAAAGAACCCCGGGAGGGGAGUGAAAUAGAGCCUGAAACCGUGUGCUUACGAGCAAUCACGGGGCCUUUGGGCCUUGUGGUGUGCCUAUUGAAGCAUGAGCCGGCGACUCACGGUCGUAGGCGAGCUUAAGCCGUGGAGGCGGAGGCGUAGGGAAACCGAGUCCGAAGAGGGCGUUUAGUCUGCGGCCGUGGACCCGAAACCGGGUGAGCUAGUCCUGGCCAGGGUGAAGCUGGGGUGAAACCCAGUGGAGGCCCGAACCGGUGGGGGAUGCAAACCCUUCGGAUGAGCUGGGGUUAGGAGUGAAAAGCUAACCGAACCCGGAGAUAGCUGGUUCUCCCCGAAAUGACUUUAGGGUCAGCCUCAGGUGCUGAUUCCUGCCUGUAAAGCACUGAAAGGGCUAGGGGGCCUACCAGCCUACCAAACCCUAUCAAACUCUGAAGGGUAGGAAGUGGAGCCUGGGAGUGAGGGUGCGGGUGCUAACAUUCGCAUCCGAGCGCGGGAACAACCGAGACCGCCGAAUAAGGUCCCGAAGUGUAGGCUAAGUGGGAAAAGAUGUGGCGUUGCUGAGACAGCCAGGAGGUUGGCUUAGAAGCAGCCAUCCUUUGAAGAGUGCGUAAUAGCUCACUGGUCGAGUGACGCUGCGCUGAAAAUGAUCGGGGCUGAAGCCUACCGCCGAAUUCGCGGACUCACGCAGGUGAGUGGUAGGGGAGCGUUCCCGAUGCCGAGGAAGGUUGUCUGUGAGGGCAGCUGGAGGCAAGGGAAGUGCGAAUGCCGGCAUGAGUAACGAUAAACAGGGUGAGAAUCCCUGUCGCCGUAAGCCCGAGGUUUCCUACGCGAUGGUCGUCAACGUAGGGUUAGGCGGGGCCUAAGGAUAACCCGAGAGGGGAGGCCGAAGGGCAACUGGUUAAUAUUCCAGUCCUACUGUGCGGUGCGAUGGGGUGACGCUUUAGGCUAGGCGAACCGGAGCCAUGGACGAGCCCGGACAGAAGCCCAAAGGGGACUACAGGCAAAUCCGUAGUCUGAUACCGGUGGGUGGUGUGGAAGCCGCGAGGUGACAACUCGCCGAAGCCAUGGAGCCUAGAAAAGCCUCUAAGCGUAACUGCACAGUACCCGUACCGGAGACCGACACAGGUGGGCGGGUGCGAGAGCACUCAGGCGCGCGGGAGAACCCUCGCCAAGGAACUUUGCAAGUUAGCCCCGUAACUUCGGGAGAAGGGGUGCUCUGGGUGGUGCCGCGUGCGGCGCCACUGGGGAGCCGCAGUGAAUAGGCGCUGGCGACUGUUUACCAAAAACACAGCUCUCUGCGAACGCGUAAGCGGAGGUAUAGGGAGCGACGCUUGCCCGGUGCUGGAAGGUCAAGGGGAGGGGUGGGAGCCCUGAACCGAAGCCCCAGUGAACGGCGGCCGUAACUAUAACGGUCCUAAGGUAGCGAAAUUCCUUGUCGGGUAAGUUCCGACCUGCACGAAAAGCGUAACGACCGGCGCGCUGUCUCGGCGAGGGACCCGGUGAAAUUGAACUGGCUGUGAAGAUGCGGCCUACCCGUGGCAGGACGAAAAGACCCCGUGGAGCUUUACUGCAGUCUGGCCUUGAGACCCGGCCGUUUUUGCGCAGGAUAGGUGGGAGCCUGUGAGGCUGUUCUUUCGGGGGCAGCGGAGGCGACGGUGAGAUACCACCCUAAGACGUCUGGGUUUCUAACCCUGGGAGGGCCAAGGGUCCUUGGGGGACAGGGUUUGACGGGCAGUUUGACUGGGGCGGUCGCCUCCCAAAGGGUAACGGAGGCGCCCAAAGGUUCCCUCAGGUGGGACGGAAACCCACUGGAGAGCGCAAGGGUAGAAGGGAGCUUGACUGUGAGGCCUGCAAGCCGAGCAGGGGCGAAAGCCGGGCCUAGUGAACCUGUGGUUCCGUGUGGAAGGGCCAUAGAUCAACGGAUAAAAGUUACCCCGGGGAUAACAGGCUGAUCUCCCCCGAGCGUCCAUAGCGGCGGGGAGGUUUGGCACCUCGAUGUCGGCUCGUCGCAUCCUGGGGCUGAAGAAGGUCCCAAGGGUUGGGCUGUUCGCCCAUUAAAGCGGCACGCGAGCUGGGUUCAGAACGUCGUGAGACAGUUCGGUCUCUAUCCGUCACGGGCGGAAGAAGGUUGAGGGGGGCUGCUCCUAGUACGAGAGGACCGGAGUGGACGCACCGCUGGUUUUCCGGCUGUUCUUCCAAGGGCAUAAGCCGGGUAGCCAAGUGCGGGAGGGAUAACCGCUGAAAGCAUCUAAGCGGGAAACCUGCCCCAAGAUGAGCCUUCUUACGGAGUUGAUCCGGUAAGGACCCCAGGAGAAUACUGGGUGGAUCGGCGGGGGGUGUAAGCGCAGCGAUGCGUUUAGCCGACCCGUGCGAAUGGUCCGAGGUCUUGACCCUGA
RNAcentral lists this ribosomal RNA (2901 nucleotides) under Meiothermus sp. QL-1. Its description in RNAcentral is "bacterial LSU rRNA". It matches the Rfam family "Bacterial large subunit ribosomal RNA". The record is from RNAcentral. Lineage: Bacteria; Thermotogati; Deinococcota; Deinococci; Thermales; Thermaceae.